UCGAACGCGAAAGUCCCGCAAGGGAUGAGUAGAGUGGCAAACGGGUGAGUAACACGUGGGUGACCUGCCUUCGAGCGGGGGAUAACGUCCCGAAAGGGACGCUAAUACCGCAUGACAUCCUGCCUUUGAAGAGGCGGAGAUCAAAGCUGGGGAUCGCAAGACCUGGCACUUGAAGAGGGGCCCGCGUCUGAUUAGCUAGUUGGUGGGGUAACGGCUCACCAAGGCAACGAUCAGUAUCCGGCCUGAGAGGGCGGACGGACACACUGGGACUGAGACACGGCCCAGACUCCUACGGGAGGCAGCAGUGGGGAAUUGUUCGCAAUGGGCGCAAGCCUGACGACGCAACGCCGCGUGGAGGAUGAAGACCUUCGGGUCGUAAACUCCCUUCGAUCGAGACGAAUAGCUUCCGGGUGAACAGUCCGGGAGUUUGACGGUACCGAGAGAAGAAGCCCCGGCUAACUCCGUGCCAGCAGCCGCGGUAAUACGGGGGGGGCAAGCGUUGUUCGGAAUUACUGGGCGUAAAGGGCUCGUAGGCGGCCAACUAAGUCAGACGUGAAAUCCCUCGGCUUAACCGGGGAACUGCAUCUGAUACUGGAUGGCUUGAGAUUGGGAGAGGGAUGCGGAAUUCCAGGUGUAGCGGUGAAAUGCGUAGAUAUCUGGAGGAACACCGGUGGCGA
This 677-nucleotide ribosomal RNA is filed under the name uncultured bacterium. RNAcentral describes it as "bacterial SSU rRNA". It matches the Rfam family "Bacterial small subunit ribosomal RNA", at positions 62 to 718 of the family's 1533-position model. The record is from RNAcentral.